AUUGAACGCUGGCGGAAUGCUUUACACAUGCAAGUCGAACGGUAGAGGGGGCAACCCCUCGAGAGUGGCGAACGGGUGAGUAAUAUAUCGGAACGUGCCCAGUCGUGGGGGAUAACGUAGCGAAAGUUACGCUAAUACCGCAUACGAUCUAAGGAUGAAAGCGGGGGAUCGCAAGACCUCGCGCGAUUGGAGCGGCCGAUAUCAGAUUAGGUAGUUGGGGGGGUAAAGGCGCAACAAGCCAACGAUCUGUAGCGGGUCUGAGAGGACGACCAGCCACACUGGAACUGAGACACGGUCCAGACUCCUACGGGAGGCAGCAGUGGGGAAUUUUGGACAAUGGACGCAAGUCUGAUCCAGCCAUUCCGCGUGCAGGAUGAAGGCCCUCGGGUUGUAAACUGCUUCUGUACGGAACGAAAAGGUCUCUCUUAAUACGGGGGGCUCAUGACGGUACCGUAAGAAUAAGCACCGGCUAACUACGUGCCAGCCGCCGCCGUAA
RNAcentral lists this ribosomal RNA (496 nucleotides) under uncultured bacterium. RNAcentral's name for it is "partial 16S ribosomal RNA". It matches the Rfam family "Bacterial small subunit ribosomal RNA", at positions 30 to 523 of the family's 1533-position model. The record is from RNAcentral.